Molecule: ribosomal RNA, 867 nt
Filed under: Neoroussoella leucaenae
Lineage: Eukaryota; Fungi; Ascomycota; Dothideomycetes; Pleosporales; Thyridariaceae
Description: partial large subunit ribosomal RNA
Rfam family: Eukaryotic large subunit ribosomal RNA
Source: RNAcentral
CGAGGAAAAGAAACCAACAGGGAUUGCCUCAGUAACGGCGAGUGAAGCGGCAACAGCUCAAAUUUGAAAUCUGGCCCUUUCAGGGUCCGAGUUGUAAUUUGCAGAGGGUGCUUUGGCGUCGGCCGUGGUCUAAGUUCCUUGGAACAGGACGUCACAGAGGGUGAGAAUCCCGUACGUGGCCGCCGGUCUUCGCCGUGUAAAGCCCCUUCGACGAGUCGAGUUGUUUGGGAAUGCAGCUCUAAAUGGGAGAUACAUUUCUUCUAAAGCUAAAUAUUGGCCAGAGACCGAUAGCGCACAAGUAGAGUGAUCGAAAGAUGAAAAGCACUUUGGAAAGAGAGUCAAAAAGCACGUGAAAUUGUUGAAAGGGAAGCGCUUGCAGCCAGACGUGCCCGCAGUUGCUCACCCAGGCUCUUGCCUGGGGCACUCUUCUGCGGGCAGGCCAGCAUCAGUUCGGGCGGUUGGAUAAAGGUCUCUAUCACGUACCACCCUUCGGGGUGUCCUUAUAGGGGAGACGCAACACGGCCAGCCUGAACUGAGGACCGCGCAUCAGCUAGGAUGCUGGCGUAAUGGCUGUAAGCGGCCCGUCUUGAAACACGGACCAAGGAGUCUAACAUCUAUGCGAGUGUUUGGGUGUAAAGCCCGGGCGCGCAAUGAAAGUGAACGGAGGUGGGAACCCUUUGGGUGCACCAUCGACCGAUCCUGAAGUCUUCGGAUGGAUUUGAGUAAGAGCAUAGCUGUUGGGACCCGAAAGAUGGUGAACUAUGCCUGAAUAGGGUGAAGCCAGGGGAAACCCUGGUGGAGGCUCGCAGCGGUUCUGACGUGCAAAUCGAUCGUCAAAUUUGGGCAUAGGGGCGAAAGACUAAUCGA